AUACCAUGAUGAGGAUAUCUCCUUAAUAACUCCUUAAAUCUUUAUCAUGCAUCGUAUAAACUCUCAUCUUCAAGUUGAUGGAAAGAUGUGAUCUCAUUUCUCAAUUU
Non-coding RNA from Citrus sinensis (sweet orange), 107 nucleotides. The record is from Rfam. Lineage: Eukaryota; Viridiplantae; Streptophyta; Magnoliopsida; Sapindales; Rutaceae.